Molecule: unclassified non-coding RNA, 403 nt
Filed under: uncultured Diversispora
Lineage: Eukaryota; Fungi; Glomeromycota; Glomeromycetes; Diversisporales; Diversisporaceae
Description: sequence contains 28S rRNA gene
Source: RNAcentral
AGUUAAAUAGUACGUGAAAUUGUUGAAAGGGAAACGAUUGAAGUCAGUCAUGCUAGUGAAAAAUCAGUUUGACGGGUUUUGAGUUUGGGAGUAGAGGCAGGGUCAAACCGUUUCUCUUUUGGACUUGGGAUUUGUCGGAUGUACUUUUUCUUUGGCAGGUCAGCGUCGGUUUCGGAGGUUGUAAAAUACUUGGGGGAAAGUAGCUCUGCUUCGGGAGAGUGUUAUAGACCCUGGGGGAUGCAGCCUGCGGGAUCGAGGAUUGCAGCAAAUGCUUUUUGGCUUGUCGCCUGAUCUCUGGAUGUUACCUUGCUUGUGACAACAUUCUUGCCACCGGUGAGUACUAAUGCCCAUUAGGUUAGAACGAUCAAAAAUUUGCUAAGGAUGCUGACGUAAUGGCUUUAAA